CCACGCCAGCGCACCGCUGUCGCUCCUAGUUUCCUCUUGAGUCCAGAAGAAGGGGAGACAUGAAGAUGUCGCCCAAGAUAACUGCAUGAGCUGCUUUGCAAGUGGCACCUCGGGCUCUCCCCGUUUGAAUAGCCGCAGUGCAUCUCGCGACUGUCACGCGCAAGAGACUCAAGGAAGUUGCCACCUUCUGCCUUCGUUUGUUUGGCUGUGGUUGUCUGAUACCACUUCGCGAAAUAGUGGCUUUCAGUUGUUCCAGCAGAAGGAGGGUAGGACCCCUUUCACAGUCUUGUGUAAGCGUGAUAUUGCCGUCCAUUGGCGGUGUUUGCACUUCCAAAUCGAGGCACCUCGUGAAGGUCAGGCGUGUACGUACACCUGGACUGACGGGCCGUUCUUGGCUUGACGAGUGGUACGACACAACCGUGAGGUCAUUUGCGACGCUCUGUCGGGGGACGGCUUCGAAGCGCAUCGGCUACCUUAAGGAAACAUGGAAGCGAAGAAGUGCCCCGGUUCACAUAGGAAAAUAUGCCUGAAGUUAUUUCGUUGUCAGUCCACUGUCUUGAACGAUUCGCGCACUACGUGGGCGCAAAAACGCAGUUCUAGGCUGAAAUGAUAUAAACAGAGUCCUUCGGGGAACGGAGCCCGCUGUACAGCGGACAAUCUCGCACCUUCUCGGUUCGUCCGGAGAGUUCGCGGCGGGACUGCCCUUUUGUCGUCUGCUUUUUGCCCGAUUCUGCCCGGUAGAUUCACAAGUAUCUGAACGUGCAUUUCCUGUUUUUCGCUUUCCAGUAUACCCUUUUUACGCGUCCUCAGCCUGAAGAUGUUAUCGGGUUCCUUCUACGGCUCAGUUUUUCCUUCCUGUCUGGCUACUUAGCAGCCUUCCUUACUUUGCCCCGCGGACAGGC
This 902-nucleotide long non-coding RNA is filed under the name Toxoplasma gondii VEG. Lineage: Eukaryota; Apicomplexa; Conoidasida; Eucoccidiorida; Sarcocystidae. The record is from RNAcentral.